Molecule: ribosomal RNA, 595 nt
Filed under: uncultured Leptodontidium
Lineage: Eukaryota; Fungi; Ascomycota
Description: eukaryotic LSU rRNA
Rfam family: 5.8S ribosomal RNA (bases 235-388)
Source: RNAcentral
CUUGGUCAUUUAGAGGAAGUAAAAGUCGUAACAAGGUUUCCGUAGGUGAACCUGCGGAAGGAUCAUUACAGUGUUCCUGCCCUCACGGGUAGAAACCCCCACCCUUGACUACUAUGUUUGUUGCUUUGGCGGGCCCUGCGGCCCCGGCCGCACGCUGGCUCCGGCUGGCGAGUGCCCGCCAGAGGACCCCAAACCCUGUGUGUUAGUGUCGUCUGAGUACUAUAUAAUAGUUAAAACUUUCAACAACGGAUCUCUUGGUUCUGGCAUCGAUGAAGAACGCAGCGAAAUGCGAUAAGUAAUGUGAAUUGCAGAAUUCAGUGAAUCAUCGAAUCUUUGAACGCACAUUGCGCCCCUUGGUAUUCCGGGGGGCAUGCCUGUUCGAGCGUCAUUUCAACCAAUCCAGCUCGCUGGGUCUUGGGCCCCGCGGCUUCGCGGGCCUUAAAAUCAGUGGCAGUGCCGCCGGGCGCUCAGCGUAGUAAUUUCUCUCGCUGUGGUGCCCCGGCGUGUGCCCGCCAGCAACCCCCAACUUACAUCAGGUUGACCUCGGAUCAGGUAGGGAUACCCGCUGAACUUAAGCAUAUCAAUAAGCGGAGGA